CGUUCCCAUGCCGAACACGGAAGUUAAGCUCUUCAGCGCCGAUGGUAGUCGGGGGUUUCCCCCUGUGAGAGUAGGACGCCGCCAAGC
This 87-nucleotide ribosomal RNA is filed under the name Bacillus amyloliquefaciens. The record is from RNAcentral. RNAcentral also lists the same sequence under 8 other names. Lineage: Bacteria; Bacillati; Bacillota; Bacilli; Caryophanales; Bacillaceae.